This 501-nucleotide ribosomal RNA is filed under the name uncultured bacterium. Its description in RNAcentral is "partial 16S ribosomal RNA". It matches the Rfam family "Bacterial small subunit ribosomal RNA", at positions 30 to 523 of the family's 1533-position model. The record is from RNAcentral.
AUUGAACGCUGGCGGCAUGCCUUACACAUGCAAGUCGAACGGCAGCACGGGUGCUUGCACCUGGUGGCGAGUGGCGAACGGGUGAGUAAUACAUCGGAACGUACCUUAUCGUGGGGGAUAACGCAGCGAAAGCUGUGCUAAUACCGCAUACGCCCUGAGGGGGAAAGCGGGGGAUCGCAAGACCUCGCGCGAUUAGAGCGGCCGAUGCCUGAUUAGCUUGUUGGUGGGGUAAAAGCCCACCAAGGCGACGAUCAGUAGCUGGUCUGAGAGGACGAACAUCCACACUGGGACUGGGACACGGCCCAGACUCCUGCGGGAGGCAGCAGUGGGGAAUUUUGGACAAUGGGGGCAACCCUGAUCCAGCAAUGCCGCGUGAGUGAAGAAGUCCUUCGGGUUGUAAAGCUCUUUUGUCAGGGAAGAAACACCGGCUCUAACACAGUCCGGGAAUGACGGUACCUGAAGAAUAAGCACCGGCUAACUACGUGCCAGCAGCCGCCGUAA